Molecule: ribosomal RNA, 273 nt
Filed under: uncultured bacterium
Lineage: Bacteria
Description: partial 16S ribosomal RNA
Rfam family: Bacterial small subunit ribosomal RNA
Source: RNAcentral
GACAGAGGGUGCAAACGUUGCUCGGAUUGACUGGGCGUAAAGCGCGUGUAGGUGGUCACGCCAGUCUGAUGUGAAAGCCCCGGGCUCAACCCGGGAAGUGCAUCGGAUACUACGUGGCUUGAGUUCUGUAGAGGAGAGCGGAAUUCCCGGUGUAGAGGUGAAAUUCGUAGAUAUCGGGAGGAACACCAGUGGCGAAGGCGGCUCUCUGGACAGGUACUGACACUGAGACGCGAAAGCGUGGGUAGCAAACAGGAUUAGAUACCCCCGUAGUCC